This 85-nucleotide transfer RNA is filed under the name Flavihumibacter sp. CACIAM 22H1. RNAcentral describes it as "tRNA-Leu". It matches the Rfam family "tRNA". From Rfam's summary of the family: Transfer RNA (tRNA) molecules are approximately 80 nucleotides in length. Their secondary structure includes four short double-helical elements and three loops (D, anti-codon, and T loops). The record is from RNAcentral. Lineage: Bacteria; Pseudomonadati; Bacteroidota; Chitinophagia; Chitinophagales; Chitinophagaceae.
GCGGGCGUGGCGAAACUGGCAGACGCACCAGACUUAGGAUCUGGCGCCGCGAGGCAUGUAGGUUCGACUCCUAUCGCCCGCACAA